UGCACGUACUUGCACGGCACGAUAUACCAGAUGCAAAAUAUAGCUUUGAGAAGAGUGUUGGGGCAGAAAUAAAAGCCGCCAGUUUCCACUUCUACUGUGGAAACUGUGUGACGCUCCUUGCCGAAACAAGUGGCGACCUUGCCGAACGAAAUUCAGUGCGGGUAACGUGCACCGUGUGCGCACAACGUUACAGAGGCCCGCAGAUGCUACGAGAAGCCACUUUUUCAUAACGCUGCCCAUCGCGAAGUUGCUGUCUUCAUUACUUGCAGAAAAUGAUGCCAGCACUGCACUCCACGAAAAACUCGAGUCUAUACACAAGAGUCUGUCUGAUGACAAAGAUGAAAUGACAGAUAUAACAGAUGGCACCCUAUACAGAACCCUUAGUCACAAACUGACGUCAAAAAAUAACAUAACCCUCACUGUUAACAGUGACGGAAGCCCCGUCUUCAAAUCGUCAAAAUUUUCUGUGUGGCCCAUUCAGGUGAUGGUGAAUGAACUCCCAGUGCACAUUAGGCAGAAAAAUGUGCUUGUGUCUGCCCUAUUUGUAUGACCAGAAACAUCCUGAUAUGACUCUUCUAUUAAACACAUUUGUAGAACAAAUGGAUGGAUUGUCGACCAACGGCAUCACAUGGAAGGCAGGCAACCAAACUGUGCAUUCCAAGGUGUACUGCUUCAGCUGCCGCGCUGAUGCGCCAGCACGGGCAGCCAUGCAGCACUUAACCAAGUUUAACGGGUAUUACGGCUGUGGAUGGUGCUUGCAUCCUGGGGCUGCUGUGGAUGGAACGGUCAAGUAUCCUGUGGACACUAUUGCACCUGAUAGGACAGCAGAA
Long non-coding RNA from Rhipicephalus sanguineus (brown dog tick), 830 nucleotides. RefSeq lists it as uncharacterized. The record is from RefSeq and is a predicted model, not a curated record. The transcript has 3 exons. Lineage: Eukaryota; Metazoa; Arthropoda; Arachnida; Ixodida; Ixodidae.